UACGUAGGGGGCAAGCGUUGUCCGGAAUCAUUGGGCGUAAAGAGCGCGUAGGCGGCCCGAUAAGUCCGCUGUGAAAGUCAAGGGCUUAACCCUUGAAUGCCGGUGGAAACUGUCGGGCUAGAGUCCGGAAGAGGCGAGUGGAAUUCCUGGUGUAGCGGUGAAAUGCGCAGAUAUCAGGAAGAACACCCGUGGCUAAGGCGGCUCUCUAGUACGGUACUGACGCUGAGACGCGAAAGCGUGGGGAGCGAACAGG
RNAcentral lists this ribosomal RNA (253 nucleotides) under uncultured bacterium. RNAcentral's name for it is "partial 16S ribosomal RNA". It matches the Rfam family "Bacterial small subunit ribosomal RNA", at positions 524 to 776 of the family's 1533-position model. The record is from RNAcentral.